This is a long non-coding RNA of Vespula vulgaris, 8316 nucleotides long. RefSeq lists it as uncharacterized. NCBI's taxonomy places the organism in Eukaryota, Metazoa, Arthropoda, Insecta, Hymenoptera, Vespidae. The record is from RefSeq and is a predicted model, not a curated record. The transcript is spliced from 7 exons.
UAGAAUUUCCUAAAUUUUCCUAGAAUUGCCCUUAUUUAUUUGGAUUAUCCUGUAUUUGCUCGGUUUUUCCCGAAUUUGCUUGGAUUUGUAUAGAUAUACACAGAUUUCACCAAAUUUGCCAGGAUUUGUACCAAUCUUUUCAGAUUUGCCUGGAUUAGGAUAAAUUAGAACGAAUUUGCACAGAAGUUACAGCAGACCUUAGCAGAAUUUAUUUGAACUUGUCCAGAAGUAAUAAAUUUGUCUGGGAGCAUUGGAAUUUUGGCCGAAUUAAGCCGGACCUGCCCAAAAUUUGUAAGUUAGAUCGUGUAAAUAUGAAAAUGCAUAGAACCCCUCGAAGAUAUUCGAAAUUAGUUGAAUUUAGCAGGACUUGUCCAGAGUUAAGAAAGUACAUUAUUUUCAUGAUUAAAUUAAUAGAAAUUUAAUCAAAAGAAAAAUUUUUGUGUAAGAAAACUUGUGGAUAAUAGUAGUAUACGCGCCAGGUAAUAAUAAAAAGAAUUGGCAAAGGACAAUCUACUUGUCAUUUUAGUAUUAGGUAAUAUUAAUAAUUAUUAUGUAAUUAUGGGAAGUAGAUUUUUUGGCAAAUAAUUAAAACAAAAUCAGAUAGGCUAUAAAAUGAUAUUAUGCACAACUAGCAAAUUUUAAUUUGCAGUAGAUAAUCCAUAGUUACAGGAUUGACACAUAAUAGAUUCCAAGUAGUAAAUCAAAAAAAAGGUAAUAGAAAAUAAAAAUUAUAUCAUACGAUAAUGAUUAUAAUGCAUUAGCUAGACAAAUAAGGAAAGGGUUCUGUGUAAUAUUUAAUCCUCAAAUAUUUUAAGAAAAUAAUAAAUAUAGUUCGAAUAAAGUGAACUAGUAUAAAUUUUAAAAACACUUAGUAAUAUUUAUUGCUGGUAAUUUAGAAAAUAAGUAGAUAAAGAAAUGAUCCAAAUAAAAAAUAACGAUUCAAAUCCAAUUUAUUUAAUCAGUAUUAAAAAAAAAGUAAAAAAUAAGAAACUUCCUCUUUGCAAACUUUCCUUGGAAUAACUGCAGUUAUUCCUUGUUUUCUCUAUUUUUAUAAUUUUUAAUUUUUCCUGUAAUGUAAUUUCUCCAGCAUAGAAUGUGAAGUAGGACAUUCUCUGUUUUUAUUUCUUUUAUAUUCUUGUCAUAAGCAAUAAGCAAUUUCGGCUUUAAUAUAUAAGAAACGAUAUUGACAUUUUCUUCUUCGAUAUCAUUUAUAUUAUAUAAAAGACAAUUUCUUCAAUAUAAAAGCAAAAUAAUUACUACUGUUAACUGCAAUAAAUAGAACACAAUGCGAGAUACCAUUUUUUUGAUAGAAUUUUUAUUUGGUAAAAGGUAAUUAGGAAAGUAAGUCUACUCAAUAUAUGUAUUAAUUAUAUAAUUUUAUUGUAUUAAAGCGUUCAAUGUCAAUACAUUCUUAGGUUUCUUUAUCUCUUUAUUAUAUUUGUUGGUUAUAUUAUGUCAACAAAAUAUACUUCAUAAGUGUAUCCACUUAUUAUGAUACUAUUUUACUAUUUUCACAGUCAAUUCCAUUUAUAUUUGUGAAGAGUAUAUUAACUAUUCUGUAUAUAUUUUUUUCAUUUCUUUAAAAGAAAUCUAUACUUGUGAACCAAUUAUCAAAAUAAAUUAGAUAAAAUAAACUUUUUUGCACAAUUCUGGAUUAUUUUACACUAAUAUUUUUACUUAUAUUUAUGACAGGUAAUUAGACAACAUGUUUCACUUUACCUUUAAUUUCACUUACUUUCAAAAAAUUUCAAGCUAAAAAUGUAUGUCAGACAAUGAUCUUUCUGUUGUUCUAUUUUAGAUGAUAUGUUCCAGAAAAUUUAUUUUCGUGUUAGAACGCUGAAAGAUACAAUCCGCAUUUAAUUAUAAAAUCAUAUAAGAUGAAUAUGACUUUUUUCAAAGUAACUCGAUAUUUGCUGAUUUGAAACACUCUUUUAUUUAUUGCAUAUGGCCAAAUAUAUAUAUAUAUAUAUAUAUAUUGAUCAUUUAAUUAUAGAAACACAAUAAAAGUACAGAUUAAAUAAAUAAGAGUUUAAGAAAUGUUACUUUUAUUAUAUUUAUUUUAUUGUUUACAAUUCGAAUCAAAAGGGAAAUUUUAUUAAUUUUAUAUAAUUAAUAAAGUAAUACGAUAUAUAAUUUUCAUAGAAAAUGACAGACUAAAAACAUAAUAUUUUUUAGAAAACAAUACAUGCGGUCGUAAUUGAUUCGUUUUGAAAAAUUGUACAUAAAAGCCAAAAUCCCAAAGAAUGUCAAAUUCCAAGAAGUACGAAUAUCAUCAUCAAGAAUCAUUCAACUUUAUAAAUUUAUAUUGAAUUAUAUCUGAUAUCCAAUGUUAAAUGUAAAAUAGUACCAUCGUAUGUAAGUCAUUAUAUCAAAUAUUUAUACGAUAUCAGAUAUUCUAUCUACCCCAACGGAUAAGAAUUUUCAGAGCCAUCUUUAUCAAUCUAGUUUAUAAUCAUCAGCUGUAUCUUCGAUAUUAUAAAUGAAGAUUUUAUCAAUUUUUGCAUAUAAUCGAUAGAAUAUUCGUUUUUUAAGAAAGAAGAGAAAUCAAAGUUAUUAUCUACUUUGAAAUAUUUCCUGCUCAAUAUGAUUAUUGGACAUGUUUGUGUGCACGUGCAUAUGUACAAUAUAUAUAAAAUUCUUAUAUUUGAUGAGAAUAAUAUAAAUAUAAAUAAUUGUACUGUAAAAAUGGAAGUAAAAUUGUUAUUGAUAUAAAUUUAAUGUUAAUAAUAUUGUUAAUUAUAUAAAUUGAAUAUAAUAAUAAGUUUAUUAAUUAGUUUAGUAGUUUGUUAUUAGCUUAGUACUUCAGCUAUUAUUAUUCAAGUAAAAAGUUUAAUCUUAUUAAUAUUAUCAAUAUUAAUAAAAUACUACAAAGUAUUUAAUCUUUAUAAGAAAUAACAAUUUAGAAAAAUUAUUGAUUAUUUUCAGGAAAAAAUUUGUGCACUGUCCACUUGUUUUCAACUUAGCAUGUCUUAUACGCAGAGACUUAACGAUGUCUAAUGAAAAGUUAAAUUCUAUUAAUGGUAUCGUAGUUAAAUGUGUAAUUUUAUUAGAAAAUAACAAAUUGUAAACAUUACCAAUAUUUUUUAAAGGACCAUAAAUCGUUUCAAUGGAGUAUCUGUAGAAGCUUUUGCGUCUUAUUUCGUAUAUUAGGAUCAGUGUAUAAUGGAAAAUUAUCAAGAACGCAAUACUUCUAUAUUAUCAUUACUUUCUCAAGCGAAUCUACUACAAUUUUAACCAAUUUCAUUUUCAUGGAUGUGAAUUUAUCUCAUUUAAGAUCUAUCUACUAUGGAUAAAUUAGCAUCAUUCAUUGUCAACCUACAUCAUGGAGGAGUGUUCAAGAGCCAUUGUAGAACUUCUUAAGUAAUGGCCAUGGCCACAUUCGAACAAUCGAGACUACGUGGACUAUGCCUGGAUAUGUAUCAAUGAUGCGACCUAUCGACCAUUGGAUCGGUAGUGCAUUGUACUCUUUGAAGAGCACGAAUAUGCGGAUCUUAAGAUUAUUUGUUUCUCCCCGAUGCCAUUUCCUUCUCGCUGUCAGCUCGCCGUGAAUACCGUUCUUUUUUAUGAGUAUACAUCAAGAAGGUCCGUCGAGCUAGACUCAACAGCUGGAGGAAGUUAGUAACAUUGUACGAUAACUUAAAGUCUUGGGGCUUCGUUUAUAAGCAUUGAUCUAACAAGCUCCGAGUCGAGAAGGUUAUUAGCACCCUUAGGCGAAACGGCAGUAUUAUAAAAAAAAUAUGGAAGGGAGAUUCAAAUGCUCUACAAAUGAUCUAACAACGAGUGUUCACAUCGAGGGUUACGUGCGCGGCAGCAGGAUGGCCUGAUCUCUGCAGAGAGAGGGGAAAUAUGCGCUGCAAAGUCGGGCUCUUAUAACGAUUACGUUAGCGUACCGCAUGGCAUCGACGGAGCCCAUAUGCGUCUUUGUCAGCGAACCCCCGAUUGAUCUUCAACUUCAUAAAUAUCGGGAAUUCUACAGCGAAAGAAAAACAGGUACCUUACAUCGAAAUCGGAACCAGAGAUAUAAACAACAAAUCGUGACGCGAGAAGUCAGAAGAGGAAAUCCGCGUUAGUGAAAAAGACGUCAGAGAGGGAAUGAACGCCCGUUUCAUCUCUCCAAACUACUAUACAUAUAGGCUCAAAGCCAAACUCGCAUCAUCGAGUCUUGCCACAGAGGAGAAGUGCGAGUGUGGUAAAUGGACACGGUUCAGCAUUACAUUCUUGACUGUUUGAUCUUUGAAGAGAGUCCCUCUGGAGAAAAUAAUAGGCGUCAGCAUAGACCGAAGUAGCCAAACAUCUCGUCUCCUUGGCUGAAGUCUUCUCUCUCUUCGACGAUUUUUCUAGAAAGACCCUUUCUAUCAAGGGCAUUUAGUUUUUAGAUCCUUUUCAGCCGAAAUUAUCGAAGUUCCUGGUGGUAGGGGUGGCCGCCUGUAACCUUCUCAGAUCAACCCACUCUCGAGCAGGGAGAGAUCGAAGGAGCUCGUACGCCAUUUUCUAUUUUUUCACCCCGCAAUCUACAGUCCUAUCCUCUCUUCCCAUCCUACGAAAUAAGUGUCACGAAACAUGACACUAUGAGUGGUUCCCCGUGGACUCGGCGGGAGUCAGCGCGGCUAUUCGUUACUGCGGGUACGUCAGCCGUGACAAAACUGCUCACCUUGCGGGAAUUUUGGGUUUUCCCGAGUCCGUGCACUUAAUAUAAAAUAGGGGAUGGAUGGUUCCGUAGCGUAUGCCAGUUUUGACGAGAUAGCAUAAGAACCGGCACUCUACGGAUGUUCUCCUUUAAAAUAGUUGUUAUCAUGAACCCCGCAGAUCGGUAAGUCAACUCGUUCACGCGGAAAAUUCAGCUGCUUACCCAUUUUUUCUGUAAUAAAAUACGACUGAGAAGUGCUAUCUAUUAGAACUGGAUAAGUUUUCGAUCUAUUAUUACGGAUAAGUUUCCCGCAUCUAAGUUGUACUACGGCCGUUAGUAACAAUUUACAACCAUAUGCGGCCGCGGAAAUACUCGUAUUAUUUGAUGUUUUAGGAACCGUCGGUGUAGUUCCUCAUGAAGCAAAUGGUAAUGUUGGUACUUACGUCGUCUGCAAGACAAUAAACUUGUACUUGCUCACGCCAUGGUCUACGCAAAGACAAAUAUGCUGAACUUUAAAAUUUUUGACGAAUCUGCGACGCUGUUGGAUAGUUGUCUCGAUAGCUUGGCGCACUGAAAGGUAUAGUAGCUCGAUUCACAAAUGGCGCAAAGUAUAUUUACGGUUAAUAGGAAGGUGUGUCGAGCUCAUUCUGUAGUUUUGAUGGCUUGUUUGUGGAUUUCGAAGAUCUGUAUAGUAUCCACACUGAUGAUACAUUGAAUUAUUUUUCAGAAUCGCAUUACUUUAUUUAUACGUGAUAACCAGUUAUACGUAUAAACAAGUAUAUCUUAACGUGUACGCAUGAGUAAAUCGCAAUUCUCAUGCAAAAAACUAAAAGAUUACUUACGAGUGGGAAAUCCAUUAGAUCCGAGGAUCUUUGUAUGUUUCUUUGUCAAGUCAUGAGACUAGGAUAUAAGUGAUUAUCGUAUCGCGUGACGGUUGCUCGAUUUGCUUCAGAAUACGUUUCGCCAAGGCUCAAAUACUGAACUAUAUCUGUGUACAAGGCUCUUCGCAUUUUUGUUAUUCGAAUAUCGCUCUUAAGUGCCGUUAUACUAUUAAGCUUGGUUCAUUAUAAAAAUCUGAAGUACUAAAUUUACUCAUUGUAAGAAUAAUUUUAUUUCUUGUUUAAAAAUCUAUGGAUUAUUUAUUUUUUGAAAGUAUUGUAAUAAAUUAAUAUCAGACGUACUCACAUCCAUUAUUUUCUUGAUAUGACAUAACGUAAUUGUACAAACAUCAUCAGCUUGAACUCAUUGCAGAGCGUUCCAAGAAUAUACAUCAUAAGUUCUGAACGUAAUUUUUAUACGGUUUUAUUGAUCUAGCAUGAAUUCGAAAGAGAAAGAGUUCCUAUAUGAGAUCAUCCUUCACGAUUUUCCAAACAGGUUUUCAUUUGUGUGAAAAUUAUUUUUGAAAAUUACUUAUUUUUUAAAUAUGACUUUUGUAAAGAUAAUAACAUUUUUUUUUUUAAUCCGAUAAGAUUGUUUCGUGAAAAAAACAAAUCACCAAAUUGAACAAGAACUACGUCCAAGAAAAUUCAUGACGUAAGCUCUCAAAGCAGACGUACAGUACAAUAAAGUCACCCUCGAUAUCGACGUCGGCAGCGAUUUCGUUUUCGGCACCGAUGUCGAUAAAGUUCGUUCUCGGUCGUCAAAUUAGACUUUCUGUCCAAUUGUAGGGAGUUCGUUUCAAAUCCAAGUCUGUUUUUAUCUCUUGGUUCUUAAACUACCUUGCCUGUUUUAUCUUACGAUCACUCAGUUCUAUCAAUAAUAAUCUCAUACUUGAAAUUGAUUAACAUUUUAUCCAAUAUCUGCUAUACUCAGGUUCUACACAUUAAGUCUGUUGCAGAGAAGAAUAAAAGUAUUAGCAAUUAUUCCGACAGAUGAGCUAAAAAACAAAUGCAUAUUUCUUCGUUCAUUUAUAUGUAACUUCACUCAUUGUUCUACAAUGACUUGGGAAAAAAUAAUUUAUAUAAUCUUUUUGCAGACAAUCUGUUUCUAUUAGGAAUAAGUUCAUUUUCAGCUAUGGAAAAUAAGUGUUCAGACGUGACAGAAUUUUCUUCUGUACAAAGAUAUCGAUAAACCAAUUUUAUUUAUUGCUCUUUUGUACAUUGUAUUUUACUGGUAAUUUCAAUAUUUUAGAUGAUCGCAAUUUUUCAAUGAGCUGGCUCAAAUAGUUUUAAAGAACGGUACCCUUAACCAAUAUUAAAAUUACCUUUAAUAUGGAGCUUACUACAAGCUCGAACAAGGUAUGUUUUCUCUACAUAACAUUUGACUUCUCAAUGCAAAUCUAAAUAAUAUUAUGCACCAACUAAUUAUGCUUACAUAAUGCAUAUUCGAAAUAUCAGUAUAAAUGUUUGGGUGUACCAUCGUUGACCCAAAAAUAAUCUAAGAAAUAAGCUUUUAUUUUGUUUUUAUUCGUUUGGUUAAAAUAUAUCGAAUUUUUGAUUAUGGAUAUAUCCGAAUCUCAUCGAUUAUUACUUUAUUUUGUAAUAAGCACAAUGUUGUUGUAACAAUCGUCUAAUAGCAUUUUUUAUUAAUAAUACAAUUUUUAUUAUUUAAUGUUCAUUUCCAUUAUUUCAGUAUGUUAUUAUUUAAAAACCUACGAUUCGUGGUCGUAAGUACAUCGCGCUUCUAAAAUAUGCGUCGAUUCUCGAAUCGGGCAGAAAGCAUUGGGGAUAAAAAACCAUAAACCUCUCUUCCAUUUUUUCUGAUCAAAAUCGGUCAUUUUUUUUGGUUGACUGCACAAUUGAGAAAUUGUUGCUUACCAACAACUUAUUCUUAUGGUACCUAAACAGUAAAAUAACGUUAAUGUUUCUAAGAAACUCUGUACUUGAUACACGUACCUAGCAACAUCUUCUAUGUUCGAUAUGCCAUUUCCUGGCGUGUAAGCAUAAUUUUUACGUUGCUUUCCGUGGUAUUAAUCUCUUCAGGGAAGUUGGGUAUUCAAUGAGGGUAUUGGCAUUAAUUAGUCUAGAGAAACUGCCACGAAUGGUUGAUUUUGUUAUUAGUUUUUUUUUCAUUUCUGAAAUGUUAUUAUUUACUCUGACGCGGGGAUACGGGCCCGCAUGCAGAGCGGCAUGUACACUUACGUGGGAGAAAUGAGACCCAUAAGUAGUUUUCAACCAAUUCUCGAACAGUAAAGUCGAAAUUCAGCUCUUCGUUUCGGUAUUAGUCAAUAUAAAAUAAUGUUACAAUUGUUCUUGUAAUCUAUAAUUAUAGCGGUUAAAUUGUAGCUUGUUAACUUAGUGAAAUUAGUGAAUUUGUUUAAUGAUCUUAUUCGUAGAUUUAUUCAUUAAGAAAAGUUUAUUAUGUUUUGAUUUAUUCAAUUAUAUGUUAUUACUGUUGCGAUUCUAUAAUGUUAUAUUCUAUGACUUUUCCUUCUGAAUCCUUUUUAUAUAAAUUCAAGCCAACAAUGAAGUAACUGGAACUACAAUUCCGUUGGAUAUUGCGCAAACACCAAUUUCGAACCAUAACCGCGUGCAGCGGGUACAAAUCCUGAAAGAUAAGAGCUCCUCGGGAUCGAUAUAAUAUUCGGAGGCACGGAUCAGUCGUAACAAUAAAUAAUUUUUAAUAUCUUCCAAUUUUGUACAAGUUCUCGUCCUUCUAUUACUUAUUGUUCUGAAUACUGGAGCAGUUUUCGACACUGUUUACUUUAUUCAAACGGUGUAAUUUGUCCACGAAUACUACACCCACAUUUG